Meleagris gallopavo (turkey) is the source of this 1817-nucleotide non-coding RNA. The record is from RefSeq and is a predicted model, not a curated record. NCBI's taxonomy places the organism in Eukaryota, Metazoa, Chordata, Aves, Galliformes, Phasianidae.
AUGGCAUGUAUUGACGCUGAUCGAUGCUUGCUGAAUGUUUAUGGACAUCAAACAGAGGAUAUGAGCGCAGCAAGGCAGUGGGUGGUACAUUUCAACAGUGGCAACAGUGACAGAGGGACCCCUUUGCUGGUGCAGUGGUGCAGCAUGAGGGAGAGGCCUCUGCUUUGCUUUGAGAAGGCCCAGGAAGGAUCUGAGUGUUGACUACAGCUGCCUAAUAGUUUCUACUGCCUCUUGUCAGUCCUUCAGACAAGGCAUGAAAGCAAAACACUGCAAACAUCCAGGAGAAGGGGGCACACUGGGAUCAUCUGGUUCCAUGUUAGCAUAAGCACAGCAAGCCAUCACCUGACUCGUGAAUACAACUGGGUUUGGUCUUAGUUCAGCAAGUCUGUACAUGCUCUUGGCACACCGUUAGCAAUUUAGUCACUGUACGGGAAACAAACACCUCCCUUUCCUCUUCACCUGAUAGUAGGGGCUGAACACUUUCACGUUGCUUGAGGUACACUGGGGUCAACUGAUGGGGACCUGCAUACCUGUGCCCAUAAGCUCUCUUCUUAAGAGCACUAUACCAGAAAAUGCAGAGAAUGAACCAGUCCAAAUUACUUAGAAUGCAUGACUGAUAGCCAGCUGUUCUUUGUGCACUGCCAUGGAGGGCCUGGCUUCACCUGCAACCAUUCAUUCCGUGGGCAAGGAAAGAACAGGCUGAGGACAGCAAUCACCAAAUUGGCCAUCUCAUCCUCUGGGUGCAAAACCCCAGCACCAGGCUCCAAGGACCUCACAGGCCCUCUAACGCACCCCCUUCAGUCCCAGUGCGGCUGCCCAGAGGACACCAGGCCCUCUCCUCCACACCCCUCUCCUUUGGCAUCAGGGCAGAAGAGAUGCCACCUUCUCACGCUCCAGGGCCAGAGCUGAAGGAUGGCAAAGGACAGCCGAUACAAACACAGAAACUCCACUGUUUUUAAUGACUGUCUCUCCCUCGGCUGCCUGUGGGGUGUCAGCAUGCUUUGCUCCUCCUCCACCCCAGGCAGCUGCAGGGUGCUCGAGAAGCCCCUGCCCAGACUGACCCUCUUGCUACAUUCUUGCCACUGCCUCCCAGAAAUGGCCGCAGGCCCCAACAGCCAGCCGCCAUGUUUGGGCCAGCACGUGGCACUCAGAAUCCUGUCGCCAUGGGCACCAAACUGCCCUCAACUGCAGUCCCUGAGCUGACACAGCUGGAGACAGUUGCACUCCUAGCUCUCUGAAGGAGAUACUUGUUAUUUCUGAGGACGGGAUGGAGCAGCCACCUUUCAAGAAGAGGCGGCUGCUGGAAGAGGCUGAUGACAUCGAGCCCAUGGAGGUGGACCCGCCUGGCAGCCAAGAAGAGCCCAUGGAGGUGGAUCCACCUGUGGCAGAUGAGCUGAUGGAAGUGGAUCCACCUCCAUCAGGGCAGACUGGCCAUCUCUCUGCUGCUGCCAGGCCAACCAGGAAGAGGUCGCGCCCCAAAUUUCAUCGCAGGGGCGCCAGGGUCUGUCCACCUCCCGCAAAAUGGCCGCCUCGACGCCAGCGCUGAUCCUCCCGUCCUCCAAGGCUCCUACGAGCCCUUCCUUCCCGACCCUCUCCCUCGUCCCUUCCCAAGUCCUCUCAUCUCUUCUUCACCAAGUCCUGAGGAAGAGGGCAGGGCAGGGCAUCCAUCCUCAGAGCUGCUGUGCCAGGGCAGCGGGACCUCAAACAUCACAGGGGUGCGAGGAUCCUAACAAGGCUCCCAUGAGCCCAUCCUUCACGUCCUCCUCUCCCAUCCCUACCUCAGACAGGAGAAGUAGCCAAAGAAGGGAUAGAGGCAG